RNAcentral lists this ribosomal RNA (296 nucleotides) under uncultured microorganism. Its description in RNAcentral is "partial 16S ribosomal RNA". It matches the Rfam family "Bacterial small subunit ribosomal RNA", at positions 347 to 629 of the family's 1533-position model. The record is from RNAcentral.
GGCAGCAGUCGAGAAUCUUCCACAAUGGACGAAGUCUGAUGGGAGCGACGCCGCGUGCGGGAUGAAGGCCUUAUGGGUUGUAAACCGCUGUCAGGGGGAAGGAACAUCGGAAUGAACAAUACUCAUUCCGACUGACGUUACCCCAGAGGAAGCUCCGGCCAACUCCGUGCCAGCAGCCGCGGUAAUACGGGGGAGGCAAGCGUUGUCCGGAAUUAUUGGGCGUAAAGGGCGUGUAGGCGGCGAGGUAAGUCGAAAUGUGAAAAUCUCACGGGCUCAAACCGGUGAAACUGCGUUCG